UGCCAGCCGCCGCGGUAAUACGGAGGGUGCAAACGUUGCUCGGAAUCAUUGGGCGUAAAGCGCGUGUAGGCGGCGAAGUAAGUCAGAUGUGAAAGCCCGGGGCUCAACCCCGGAAGUGCAUUUGAUACUGCUUUGCUUGAGUGUGGGAGAGGAUAGUGGAAUUCUCGGUGUAGAGGUGAAAUUCGUAGAUAUCGGGAGGAACACCAGUGGCGAAGGCAACUUUCUGGAUAGAUACUGACACUGAGGUGCGAAAGCGUGGGGAGCAAACAGGAUUAGAUA
Molecule: ribosomal RNA, 279 nt
Filed under: uncultured bacterium
Lineage: Bacteria
Description: partial 16S ribosomal RNA
Rfam family: Bacterial small subunit ribosomal RNA
Source: RNAcentral